CCCGGUAGUGGGGGAUAACCUGGGGAAACCCAGGCUAAUACCGCAUACGUCCUACGGGAGAAAGCAGGGGAUCUUCGGACCUUGCGCUAUCGGAUGAGCCUAUGUCGGAUUAGCUAGUUGGUGAGGUAAUGGCUCACCAAGGCUGCGAUCCGUAGCUGGUCUGAGAGGAUGAUCAGCCACAUCGGGACUGAGACACGGCCCGAACUCCUACGGGAGGCAGCAGUGGGGAAUAUUGGACAAUGGGCGAAAGCCUGAUCCAGCCAUGCCGCGUGUGUGAAGAAGGCCUUCGGGUUGUAAAGCACUUUCAGUGAGGAAGAAGGCCUUGAGGUUAAUACCCUCGAGGAAGGACAUCACUCACAGAAGAAGCACCGGCUAACUCCGUGCCAGCAGCCGCGGUAAUACGGAGGGUGCGAGCGUUAAUCGGAAUUACUGGGCGUAAAGCGCGCGUAGGCGGCUUGAUAAGCCGGUUGUGAAAGCCCCGGGCUCAACCUGGGAACGGCAUCCGGAACUGUCAGGCUAGAGUGCAGGAGAGGAAGGUAGAAUUCCCGGUGUAGCGGUGAAAUGCGUAGAGAUCGGGAGGAAUACCAGUGGCGAAGGCGGCCUUCUGGACUGACACUGACGCUGAGGUGCGAAAGCGUGGGUAGCAAACAGGAUUAGAUACCCUGGUAGUCCACGCCGUAAACGAUGUCGACUAGCCGUUGGGCUCCUUGAGAGCUUUGUGGCGCAGUUAACGCGAUAAGUCGACCGCCUGGGGAGUACGGCCGCAAGGUUAAAACUCAAAUGAAUUGACGGGGGCCCGCACAAGCGGUGGAGCAUGUGGUUUAAUUCGAUGCAACGCGAAGAACCUUACCUACCCUUGACAUCGAGAGAACUUUCCAGAGAUGGAUUGGUGCCUUCGGGAACUCUCAGACAGGUGCUGCAUGGCUGUCGUCAGCUCGUGUUGUGAAAUGUUGGGUUAAGUCCCGUAACGAGCGCAACCCUUGUCCCUAUUUGCCAGCGAUUCGGUCGGGAACUCUAGGGAGACUGCCGGUGACAAACCGGAGGAAGGUGGGGACGACGUCAAGUCAUCAUGGCCCUUACGGGUAGGGCUACAC
RNAcentral lists this ribosomal RNA (1094 nucleotides) under Halomonas ventosae. Its description in RNAcentral is "bacterial SSU rRNA". It matches the Rfam family "Bacterial small subunit ribosomal RNA", at positions 129 to 1219 of the family's 1533-position model. The record is from RNAcentral. Lineage: Bacteria; Pseudomonadati; Pseudomonadota; Gammaproteobacteria; Oceanospirillales; Halomonadaceae.